Molecule: long non-coding RNA, 386 nt
Filed under: Salvia miltiorrhiza (redroot sage)
Lineage: Eukaryota; Viridiplantae; Streptophyta; Magnoliopsida; Lamiales; Lamiaceae
Description: long non-coding RNA (SMIL_LNC006009)
Source: RNAcentral
UGGGCUUUCUUCACGGGCUUGGCUACAGCGUUCGUUGGCUUCUUCGUGCUUGCACUCGGAAAGCGAUUCUACUUGUUCCAACCACUGGCCAACAGCCCCACUUGUCAGGGUAUCACAGGUCUGUGUUUCACUUCACCAUCAUCUACCUGUACAAAUAAAAUACAUGGCGUUCAGCAAAUGACACGACAAAAUUUAGUCGACAUAUUUUCAGGUCAUUAUAACUGCAGUUCGAAAUAGAAACCUGAAAUUUCCUGAGAGCUCGGUCGAGCUGUAUGAGGCUGAUGAUAAAGAGAGAGAUACUUCUGCAGAGGAACUUGCACACACCAACCAGUUCAGGUAUACUGCUAAAACGUAUCCAUCGUUGACAUUAAAUCUCGUGCUCUUUG